AGAGUUUGAUCCUGGCUCAGGACGAACGCUGGCGGCGUGCUUAACACAUGCAAGUCGAACGGAAAGGCCCUUCGGGGUACUCGAGUGGCGAACGGGUGAGUAACACGUGGGUGAUCUGCCCUGCACUUUGGGAUAAGCCUGGGAAACUGGGUCUAAUACCGAAUAGGACCGCGCGCUUCAUGGUGUGUGGUGGAAAGCUUUUGCGGUGUGGGAUGGGCCCGCGGCCUAUCAGCUUGUUGGUGGGGUAAUGGCCUACCAAGGCGACGACGGGUAGCCGGCCUGAGAGGGUGACCGGCCACACUGGGACUGAGAUACGGCCCAGACUCCUACGGGAGGCAGCAGUGGGGAAUAUUGCACAAUGGGCGCAAGCCUGAUGCAGCGACGCCGCGUGAGGGAUGACGGCCUUCGGGUUGUAAACCUCUUUCACCAGGGACGAAGCGCAAGUGACGGUACCUGGAGAAGAAGCACCGGCCAACUACGUGCCAGCAGCCGCGGUAAUACGUAGGGUGCGAGCGUUGUCCGGAAUUACUGGGCGUAAAGAGCUCGUAGGUGGUUUGUCGCGUUGUUCGUGAAAACUCACAGCUUAACUGUGGGCGUGCGGGCGAUACGGGCAGACUUGAGUACUGCAGGGGAGACUGGAAUUCCUGGUGUAGCGGUGGAAUGCGCAGAUAUCAGGAGGAACACCGGUGGCGAAGGCGGGUCUCUGGGCAGUAACUGACGCUGAGGAGCGAAAGCGUGGGGAGCGAACAGGAUUAGAUACCCUGGUAGUCCAA
RNAcentral lists this ribosomal RNA (773 nucleotides) under uncultured bacterium. RNAcentral's name for it is "bacterial SSU rRNA". It matches the Rfam family "Bacterial small subunit ribosomal RNA", at positions 8 to 798 of the family's 1533-position model. The record is from RNAcentral.